Molecule: ribosomal RNA, 279 nt
Filed under: uncultured bacterium
Lineage: Bacteria
Description: partial 16S ribosomal RNA
Rfam family: Bacterial small subunit ribosomal RNA
Source: RNAcentral
UGCCAGCCGCCGCGGUAAUACGGAGGGUGCGAGCGUUAAUCGGAAUUACUGGGCGUAAAGCGCAUGCAGGUGGAUGAUUAAGUCAGAUGUGAAAGCCCGGGGCUUAACCUCGGAAUAGCAUUUGAAACUGGUCAUCUAGAGUACUGUAGAGGGGGGUAGAAUUUCAGGUGUAGCGGUGAAAUGCGUAGAGAUCUGAAGGAAUACCAGUGGCGAAGGCGGCCAUCUGGGAGGAUACUGACGCUGAGACGCGAAAGCGUGGGGAGCAAACAGGAUUAGAUA